UGAGGAAGUAAAAGUCGUAACAAGGUUUCCGUAGGUGAACCUGCGGAAGGAUCAUUAUUGAAUUUUGAAGGGGGUUGUAGCUGAUCUUUUGUAGAUAUGUGCACACCUCUUGUCAUCUAUACACCCACAUGUGCACUUUUGUAGGCUUUUCAAGGCCUAUGUUUGCUUCAUACACACACACACAUUGUAAAAGAAUGUUAAUUGAUGAAAUUUAAUACAACUUUCAACAACGGAUCUCUUGGCUCUCGCAUCGAUGAAGAACGCAGCGAAAUGCGAUAAGUAAUGUGAAUUGCAGAAUUCAGUGAAUCAUCGAAUCUUUGAACGCACCUUGCGCUCCUUGGUAUUCCGAGGAGCAUGCCUGUUUGAGUGUCAUUAAAUUAUCAACCUCUUUUUAAAAGAUGCUUGGAUUUGGAGUGUUGCUGGCUUUAUAUGUUGGCUCCUCUUAAAUGCAUUAGCUUGUAGGCUUUGGUUUGAUAAUAUCUAUGCCAUCGCUGUAAUGCAAAAAAAAACAACCUUUUGAAAUUUGACCUCAAAUCAGGUAAGACUACCCGCUGAACUUAAGCAUAUCAAUAAGCGGAGGAAAAGAAACUAACAAGGAUU
RNAcentral lists this ribosomal RNA (600 nucleotides) under Hygrophorus agathosmus. RNAcentral's name for it is "eukaryotic LSU rRNA". The stretch from base 219 to 372 matches the Rfam family "5.8S ribosomal RNA". The record is from RNAcentral. Lineage: Eukaryota; Fungi; Basidiomycota; Agaricomycetes; Agaricales; Hygrophoraceae.